Molecule: ribosomal RNA, 96 nt
Filed under: uncultured bacterium
Lineage: Bacteria
Description: partial 16S ribosomal RNA
Source: RNAcentral
CCGCCCGUCACAUCACGAAAAGUGGGCUGUACUAGAAGUUCGCGCGCUAACCCGCAAGGGAGGCAGCGGCCCAAGGUAUGACUCAUGAUUGGGGUG